RNAcentral lists this ribosomal RNA (458 nucleotides) under uncultured bacterium. Its description in RNAcentral is "bacterial SSU rRNA". It matches the Rfam family "Bacterial small subunit ribosomal RNA", at positions 340 to 786 of the family's 1533-position model. The record is from RNAcentral.
UACGGGAGGCAGCAGGGGGAAUAUUGCACAAUGGGCGAAAGCCUGAUGCAGCUAUGCCGCGUGUAUGAAGAAGGCCUUAGGGUUGUAAAGUACUUUCAUCGGGGAGGAAAAAACAAAAACUAAUAAUUUUAUUUCUUGACGUUACCCGAAAAAGAAGCACCGGCUAACUCCGUGCCAGCAGCCGCGGUAAUACGGAGGGUGCUAGCGUUAAUCAGAAUUACUGGGCGUAAAGAGCACGUAGGUGGUUUUUUUAAAGUCAGAUGUGAAAUCCCUGGGCUUAACCUAGGAACUGCAUUUUGAAACUGAAAUACUAGAGUAUCGUAGAGGGAGGUAGAAUUCUAGGUGUAGCGGUGAAAUGCGUAGAUAUCUGGAGGAAUACCUGUGGCGAAAGCGGCCUCCUAAACGAAUACUGACACUGAGGGUGCGAAAGCGUGGGGAGCAAACAGGGAUUAGAUACC